UACGUAGGAGGCGAGCGUUAUCCGGAAUGACUGGGCGUAAAGGGUGCGUAGGUGGUUUGGCAAGUUAGUAGCGUAACUCCAAGGCUCAACCUUGGAACUACUACUAAAACUGUCGGACUUGAGUGCAGGAGGGGCAACCGGAAUUCCUAGUGUAGCGGUGGAAUGCGUAGAUAUUAGGAGGAACACCAGUGGCGAAGGCGGGUUGCUAGACUGUAACUGACACUGAGGCACGAAAGCGUGGGGAGCAA
RNAcentral lists this ribosomal RNA (248 nucleotides) under uncultured Eubacteriales bacterium. RNAcentral describes it as "uncultured Clostridiales bacterium partial 16S ribosomal RNA". It matches the Rfam family "Bacterial small subunit ribosomal RNA", at positions 524 to 771 of the family's 1533-position model. Lineage: Bacteria; Bacillati; Bacillota; Clostridia; Eubacteriales. The record is from RNAcentral.